GGUGAAACUCCCAUUCACAAGGCAGCUCGCUCUGGGAGCCUAGAAUGCAUCAGUGCCCUUGUGGCGAAUGGGGCUCACGUCGAGGCCCUCAAGUGUCUCUUUUCCACCAGGUGUGGCUGAGAUGGGCUCAGGUGCCAGUCUGUUUUUCCUUCUCAGUAUAAGAGCCACCACUCAAGACCCUGCAUUAUGGUGACUUCCCUGGACUGAGCUUUCAUAUUUUUUUUAGAAGAAAUAUUUAGCCUGAGCUACCUAGCCAAAAACAAUUAUAAGCCUUUGGCCUGGAGAUAGAGCACAAGUAAUCAUUAUUCAUUGCUAUUGUAUAUGUGGUUAUUUCGUUUUAACAUCGAGAUAAAAUGUCAGUUUUGUCAGUAAGUUAAUUUGUAAGUUGCUUCUUG
RNAcentral lists this small RNA (395 nucleotides) under Pan troglodytes (chimpanzee). RNAcentral describes it as "processed transcript". The record is from RNAcentral. Lineage: Eukaryota; Metazoa; Chordata; Mammalia; Primates; Hominidae.